UCCAAGUUGUGUACUGGAUCAAGACUUCUGGGAUUCAAUGGAAGCAUUGGAAAGUCCUCAGGGUUUAACACUUGAAGGUUUUUCGAAUUCUCCAGCUGAAAGAAUCAAGAAGUUGAUUGAAUGUACUUUCCCUGCCGAAGUACCCAACUGGACUUGGGCCGAGGAUGAUUGGAUUACAGUUAGAAAUAGUGACACUGAGGAAAUCUCGGUGGAUACGCCUUCAGUUCCAACUGCAUUCUUGACCUCAGAUUCAAUUUUUUAUGAACAAGAGCUUGAAAGAUCAAUUUUUUAUGAAGAUUUGCUAAUGG
Molecule: unclassified non-coding RNA, 308 nt
Filed under: Hevea brasiliensis (rubber tree)
Lineage: Eukaryota; Viridiplantae; Streptophyta; Magnoliopsida; Malpighiales; Euphorbiaceae
Source: RNAcentral